This 604-nucleotide long non-coding RNA is filed under the name Homo sapiens (human). Its description in RNAcentral is "non-protein coding lnc-EGLN3-1:3". Lineage: Eukaryota; Metazoa; Chordata; Mammalia; Primates; Hominidae. The record is from RNAcentral.
GGCAGGGAGACAGAAUGAAAAGCCUGAGAAAACACAAUAAGGCAGCUACCAGGAGGCAGCCUGAACGUGUCAGGGCCUGGGCACGACACUUGCCUUUCUUGGAGGAGUGAUUUGAAGCCAUAGUGGAAGACUGAGCCUCUAUAAAAAAUGAACGAGGACACUCUUAAUGGACAGAUACAAAACAAGCCCCAGGAGAAAGGUGUAUCAACCAUUUUAAAUCUGCCCUCAAAAGCACAGAACAAAUCAGACAGCAUUUUGCUCACAGAGGAGAGGGUGUAUGAGAACCAAAUUCCAGCUUCAGCACAUGGCCUUGGGUACAGCUACAAGAUGGAGGAAGCUAUUUGACCUGCAUCAGACUUUACGUGAACAAAAGGGUGUUGUUAUGUCCAAAGCCAUCUUGCCAUGCGCAGCCUGAGAAUGGAGCCAAUGACUGAGGGUGGCAGAGCAGAAAGAUGGUAAGAGUCUGAAUCUGUAAUAACUGGGCUGGCCACUGAACCUGUCUACCCAACCCUCUUCCCCUUGGGGAUUACAGUUAUCCCCAUCAAUGAAUUUUUAAAAAUUGUUUAAGGGUAUUUGAAUCUGGUUUCUAUGACUUGAAGCCAAA